UACGAAGGGGGCUAGCGUUGCUCGGAAUUACUGGGCGUAAAGCGCACGUAGGCGGCUUCUUAAGUCGGUGGUGAAAUCCUCGGAGCUCAACUCCAGAACUGCCUUCGAUACUGGGAAGCUCGAGUCCGGGAGAGGUGAGUGGAACGUGCGAGUGUAGAGGUGAAAUUCGUAGAUAUUGGGAAGAACACCGGGUGGCGAAGGCGGCGACCUGGUCCUUUACUGACGCUGAGCGCGAAGCGUGGGGAGCAAACAGG
This 254-nucleotide ribosomal RNA is filed under the name uncultured bacterium. RNAcentral describes it as "partial 16S ribosomal RNA". It matches the Rfam family "Bacterial small subunit ribosomal RNA", at positions 524 to 776 of the family's 1533-position model. The record is from RNAcentral.